UCGCCUCUGCUGCUGGGGGAGCGCUCGGGAGAUGCUCCUGCGGCGUUAGCUCCACCUGGGUGCGAGCCCGAAGCCGGCUGCGGGCGCCUCAUCCCGGCAGGCAGCCGCCGAGCUCCCGUCUCCCUGAGCAGCAAGAGUUGGAUUCCCUCCCUGCAAAGCAGGGCAAAGCUGAGCUGGGGCUGCGGCAGGCGAAACGCCCCCCAGGACCAGACGGAUAUUUCUCUGCCCCACUCCCGUAAACAAAGAAAGAUGAGAACUCAUUUCAUCUGAGUUUUACCUGCCCCUUGAACAACGGCACCAUGGAUCUGGGCUACGAGCUGCCCAACGUCACCGAGUUCUGGUUCUCCUCAGCCUCCCAGUUCGACAACUUCUCCACGGAGAUGUCUGCCAACGCCUCCCAGAACACUACGGGCCAGCAUUUUGAUCUGACCAGCAACGCCAUCCUUACUUUCAUCUACUUUGGGGUGUGCAUCAUAGGCCUGUGCGGCAACACACUGGUGAUCUACGUCAUCCUCCGCUAUGCCAAGAUGAAGACCAUCACCAACAUCUACAUCCUGAACCUGGCCAUUGCAGAUGAGCUUUUCAUGCUGGGGCUGCCAUUCCUGGCCAUGCAGGUGGCUCUGGUUCACUGGCCCUUUGGCAGAGCCAUCUGCCGGAUUGUCAUGACAGUGGACGGGAUCAACCAGUUCACCAGCAUCUUCUGCCUGACCGUCAUGAGCAUUGACAGGUAUCUGGCUGUAGUCCACCCCAUCAAAUCCGCCAAGUGGAGAAGGCCCAGAACGGCCAAGAUGAUCAACGUGGCCGUGUGGGGCAUUUCCCUUCUAGUCAUUAUGCCCAUCAUGAUUUAUGCUGGGAUCCAACACACCCAUGGAAGGAGUAGCUGCACCAUCAUCUGGCCAGGCAAGUCCAGCGCAUGGUACACAGGGUUCAUCAUCUAUACCUUCAUUCUGGGCUUCCUGGUGCCCCUCGCCAUUAUCUGCCUUUGCUACUUGUUCAUCAUUAUCAAAGUCAAGUCCUCCGGGAUCAGAGUGGGCUCCUCCAAGAGGAAAAAAUCAGAAAAGAAAGUCACCAGGAUGGUCUCCAUCGUAGUGGCAGUCUUCAUCUUCUGCUGGCUUCCCUUCUACAUAUUUAACGUCUCCUCCGUCUCCGUCUUCAUCACUCCCACACCCUUCCUGAAGGGUAUGUUUGAUUUCGUCGUGGUUCUCACCUAUGCCAACAGCUGUGCUAACCCCAUCCUCUACGCCUUUUUGUCCGACAACUUUAAGAAGAGCUUUCAGAACGUUCUCUGCCUGGUGAAGGUCAGUGGCAUGGAUGAUGCAGACAGGAGCGACAGCAAGCAGGACAAAUCCAGGCUAAAUGAGACCACGGAAACUCAAAGGACUCUGCUCAAUGGUGACCUUCAGACAAGCAUCUGAGAGGACUCCAGGAUUGCCCUUCUCAGCUGUCCUCUUUCCUCCUCCUCCCCACUCCUUUAUAUGGCAGUAGCACAUAGCAAGUCAGGUCAAGAGUACUUGGUCUUUGUUGCUUGUCUUAGGGGAUGGUGAUGCAGGGAUGGGAGCCUGUGCCAGGAGUAGUCUCUCAGCAGAAGGCAGGUUGGUUUUGAGUAUUCAGAAAGAUGCUGCUCAAAUACAACUUCAUACAUGGAACAGACACACACACCUGUGUUUAAACAUAUAACAUGAGGUCAUGGGCCAAAUUCAUUCCUGCUGCAACUGCAUUGGUUGCACUGGUGUUACCCCCAGGGAUGUGUUUGGACAUACAGAACACAUUCACACAUCUCUAACCAUACCCAUGUAAAUGGGCAAAUUCAAUAGAGUUGCACAUGUGUAACUGAGGCAUUUCUGCUGGACUUGGUUACACAUACCAACAUGCUCCAUACAGCAUAGAUCACAUAUGUCUAAACAGAGCUAUUCAUGUCUGUUUCUUUGCAAAUCAGGAGACUUAGCUGAAAAUGAGAGAGAGAAAGGGAGAGAGCGAGCGCGAGCAAGCGAGCAGUCUUAAGAAUCAGAGCGCACACACACUGAGAUCCUCCACUAGGACAUGAAGAAUAUUUCAUUUUAUUACCCAGCUAGUAAAAUUUUAUUUUUUUAAGAAUGAAUCUCCUGAAGCUCCCCUAGUUUUAUUAGACUGUUACUGUAUUUGUUUACAAGUUGCUUUUCCUGCCACCGGAGAAGCAACAGAUCAGAAUGAAAGAAACCACAGCAGAAAGAAAAUAUCCCAGCCCCAGUACAGUGUGUGUGUGAGCGAGAGAGAGAGAGGCUGGACAGAUAGACUCCUAAGAGAUUUGGAACCCAAUUCCCAUUAAAAUUGAUGCCUUGAGGCAGCCUGGAAAAUCUCAGUUUAUAUACACAUUCUGCAGUCAGAUACAUACGGGUGGGAUGUACGUG
This is a non-coding RNA of Chelonoidis abingdonii (Abingdon island giant tortoise), 2387 nucleotides long. NCBI's taxonomy places the organism in Eukaryota, Metazoa, Chordata, Testudines, Testudinidae. The record is from RefSeq and is a predicted model, not a curated record.